This 449-nucleotide ribosomal RNA is filed under the name uncultured bacterium. RNAcentral describes it as "bacterial SSU rRNA". It matches the Rfam family "Bacterial small subunit ribosomal RNA", at positions 29 to 524 of the family's 1533-position model. The record is from RNAcentral.
AACGAACGCUGGCGGCAGGCCUAACACAUGCAAGUCGAACGCUCGUAGCAAUACGAGAGUGGCAGACGGGUGAGUAACACGUGGGAACCUUCCCUAUGGUUCGGAAUAGCCCAGGGAAACUUGGGGUAAUACCGGAUAAGCCCUUCGGGGAAAGAUUAUCGCCAUUGGAUGGGCCCGCGUCGGAUUAGCUAGUUGGUGAGGUAACGGCUCACCAAGGCGACGAUCCGUAGCUGGUCUGAGAGGANGAUCAGCCACACUGGGACUGAGACACGGCCCAGACUCCUACGGGAGGCAGCAGUGGGGAAUAUUGGACAAUGGGCGCAAGCCUGAUCCAGCCAUGCCGCGUGAGUGACGAAGGCCUUAGGGUUGUAAAGCUCUUUUGGCGGGAAGAUAAUGACGGUACCCGCAGAAUAAGCUCCGGCUAACUUCGUGCCAGCCGCCGCAGUAAC